GUCAACACCAUUAGAUUCAAAAUAAAGUCAAUAGACAAUUGAGAAAGCAACACAAUAACAUCUAAAAUGAACAAAGCUUUAGAUAUUCGACAGUACAAGAAAAUGAUAAAGGAACACAAGUUCUUCGAGUUCUCCAGUAUCUAAUCUAAUCAAUCUAAGGGGGGAAACACAAACUCUUCCAUAUUCAAAGGUCUUGGACGCUCAAACGUGGAGGAAGUGACUGCUUCAGCUUGUCAGCCUUCUCAAAGUCGGACACACAGAGUGUGUACAGGUACUUGGAGCAGCGAACCUUGAACUUAACCAUAUCCUUGUUCUUCUUGAUCUUUACAGUUGGGACAUCUAAUCAAUCUAAGGGGGGAAACACAAACUCUUCCAUAUUCAAAGGUCUUGGACGCUCAAACGUGGAGGAAGUGACUGCUUCAGCUUGUCAGCCUUCUCAAAGUCGGACACACAGAGUGUGUACAGGUACUUGGAGCAGCGAACCUUGAACUUAACCAUAUCCUUGUUCUUCUUGAUCUUUACAGUU
RNAcentral lists this long non-coding RNA (526 nucleotides) under Capsicum annuum. Its description in RNAcentral is "long non-coding RNA (CANN_LNC010852)". Lineage: Eukaryota; Viridiplantae; Streptophyta; Magnoliopsida; Solanales; Solanaceae. The record is from RNAcentral.